AUACUUGAAACGAUGAUACCAUCCAGCCACCAUCAUAAAAGAAAACAUAAGAGCACCAAGAGUUUGCUAGCGGUAGAACCAUCUGAUGAUUUGACCACUAAACAAGACUCUCUCAGAAUACGACGGAAUUCAGAUAAGGAGAAGUUUCUAGCUGAAGCAGGACGGGUUGGACGGGUCAUCAAGCACAUAUACUUCGACUACGCUGAGUACACUUCAGCACAUGG
Eurytemora carolleeae is the source of this 224-nucleotide long non-coding RNA. RefSeq lists it as uncharacterized. The transcript has 3 exons. The record is from RefSeq and is a predicted model, not a curated record. Lineage: Eukaryota; Metazoa; Arthropoda; Copepoda; Calanoida; Temoridae.